AACGAACGCUGGCGGCAUGCCUAACACGUGCAAGUCGAACGAGACCUUCCGGUCUAGUGGCGCACGGGUGCGUACCGCGUGGUAACCUGCCCUAGGUUAGGCAGCCCUCCCCGUAAGGGGUGCUACUACCGGAUAAUGUUUUCGGCCCAAAGAAUUAUCGCCUUGGUAUGGGCCCGUGUUGGAUUUGCUCGUUGGUAGGGUAAAAGCCUACCAAGGCGACGAUCCAUAGCUGGUCUGAGAGGAGGAUCAGUCACACUGGGACUGAGACACGGCCCAGACUCCGACGCGAGGCAGCAGUGGGGAAUAUUGGACGAUGGGCGAAAGCCUGAUCCAGCAAUGCGGCGUGAGUGAGGAAGGCCGUAGUGUUGUAAAGCUCUUUUACCCGGGAUGACAAUGACAGUACCGGGUGAAUAAGCUCCGGCUAACUCCGUG
Molecule: ribosomal RNA, 432 nt
Filed under: uncultured bacterium
Lineage: Bacteria
Description: partial 16S ribosomal RNA
Rfam family: Bacterial small subunit ribosomal RNA
Source: RNAcentral